Molecule: ribosomal RNA, 403 nt
Filed under: bacterium
Lineage: Bacteria
Description: partial 16S ribosomal RNA
Rfam family: Bacterial small subunit ribosomal RNA
Source: RNAcentral
UGGGGAAUAUUGCACAAUGGGGGAAACCCUGAUGCAGCGACGCCGCGUGAACGAAGAAGGUAUUCGUAUCGUAAAGUUCUGUCCUAUGGGAAGAUAAUGACAGUACCAUAGAAGAAAGCUCCGGCUAAAUACGUGCCAGCAGCCGCGGUAAUACGUAUGGAGCGAGCGUUGUCCGGAAUUAUUGGGCGUAAAGGGUACGCAGGCGGUUUAAUAAGUCGAAUGUUAAAGAUCGGGGCUCAACCCCGCAAAGCAUUGGAAACUGAUAAACUUGAGUAGUGGAGAGGAAAGUGGAAUUCCUAGUGUAGUGGUGAAAUACGUAGAUAUGAGGAGGAAUACCAGUAGCGAAGGGGACGUUCUGGACACAAACUGACGCUGAGGUACGAAAGCGUGGGGAGCAAACAGG